Molecule: small nucleolar RNA, 94 nt
Organism: Bison bison bison
Lineage: Eukaryota; Metazoa; Chordata; Mammalia; Artiodactyla; Bovidae
Source: Ensembl
UGUCUCAUACGAGCCAGGGACAGAGCAAAUCCUUGUUUAUCUGAGCUUGGCGUUUGGCCUGUGCCCAUGCCUGGUGCAUGCCCUGGACACAUAG